RNAcentral lists this ribosomal RNA (253 nucleotides) under uncultured bacterium. Its description in RNAcentral is "partial 16S ribosomal RNA". It matches the Rfam family "Archaeal small subunit ribosomal RNA", at positions 474 to 727 of the family's 1478-position model. The record is from RNAcentral.
UACCAGCACCCCGAGUGGUCGGGAUGUUUAUUGGGCCUAAAGCAUCCGUAGCCGGUUCUACAAGUCUUCCGUUAAAUCCACCUGCUUAACAGAUGGGCUGCGGAAGAUACUAUAGAGCUAGGAGGCGGGAGAGGCAAGCGGUACUCGAUGGGUAGGGGUAAAAUCCGUUGAUCCAUUGAAGACCACCAGUGGCGAAGGCGGCUUGCCAGAACGCGCUCGACGGUGAGGGAUGAAAGCUGGGGGAGCAAACCGG